UACAGAGGGUGCAAGCGUUAAUCGGAAUUACUGGGCGUAAAGCGCGCGUAGGUGGUUUGUUAAGUUGGAUGUGAAAUCCCCGGGCUCAACCUGGGAACUGCAUUCAAAACUGACAAGCUAGAGUAUGGUAGAGGGUGGUGGAAUUUCCUGUGUAGCGGUGAAAUGCGUAGAUAUAGGAAGGAACACCAGUGGCGAAGGCGAGUCCCUGGACAAUACCUGACACUGAGGCACGAAAGCCAAGGGAGCAAACAGG
RNAcentral lists this ribosomal RNA (253 nucleotides) under uncultured prokaryote. RNAcentral describes it as "partial 16S ribosomal RNA". It matches the Rfam family "Bacterial small subunit ribosomal RNA", at positions 524 to 776 of the family's 1533-position model. The record is from RNAcentral.